This is a long non-coding RNA of Cuculus canorus (common cuckoo), 606 nucleotides long. RefSeq lists it as uncharacterized. NCBI's taxonomy places the organism in Eukaryota, Metazoa, Chordata, Aves, Cuculiformes, Cuculidae. The record is from RefSeq and is a predicted model, not a curated record. The transcript has 5 exons.
GUUGUUUCUCCCCGUUCACAUGUGUUUCCGCUGAUUCGCAGGAGUGAUAAUGUUGCAGUCUACCAUUGCAGCCACCCUACAGCAGGCAUCACUACCUACUGGCAAGAGUUCAUCUCCUAGGGUCAAGCAAAGCCUGUGAGCAGGAGGAAGCAUGGUGAUGGCGUUCCCUGGACGGCACAGAAGUUGCCUGAGCUCAUUGAUGACAUGCCUGCAACUUGAGAAUGUUUGUAACAGUUGAGAUGGUGGCAAGGAUGAGAACAGGAUGCCGAGUUGCUUCAGUGGGGGAAAUACAGAAAAACGUGCAAGAGAAGUGGAAAGAAGUAGAAGAAAGGAAGAAGCUGUCUGGCAGAAAUGCCUUUCACGAUGUAUCACUGGAGUGCUAAAGCCUGUCACACGGAACAUGCACACAACCAUCUGAUUCCAGCAGCAGUGAACUUUUUUUUAAAGAACGAGUCCCUGUUUUAUGGCACCAGUUACCAGAUCCAGCUCUUUUCACACCGGGCCAGCCACUUGAAUCCAGACCAGCCUAAAGGACUCUCAUCCUCACACCAUGCAGAGGACUGGACUGCUGCUGGAGAACCUUUGCACCCGUAUUAACCGAGCAGG